Molecule: long non-coding RNA, 1521 nt
Organism: Leguminivora glycinivorella
Lineage: Eukaryota; Metazoa; Arthropoda; Insecta; Lepidoptera; Tortricidae
Exons: 5
Source: RefSeq, a predicted model, not a curated record
AUGUAAACGUCAAAUCACUGUCUCUAUUUUAUUAUUCUACAAUUCGUUCCACAUAGUCUGCAGAGCCCCAUUCAUACUGGAUAAAUUUUAGUCGCAUCCGGUCCGUCAAAUGUCUUAUGAUCUAUAGAGCCCUUUUGAUUUUUCUAUGGCAACAUUUGCUAUGCUGACGUCAUUGCCACGUCAUUACUGUCAGUCAGACAGAAAUAAAAGAAAAAUGGAUGCCGUUCAGACGUACACGCAUUAUUUGGAACUGAAAAUUACGUAAUUUAUCGACCUGCUGGCUUGUAUUUGUUAUAAAUCAUAAAAAAAAUUAUGGAAAACAUCAUGAACAAUAAUGAAACAAACCGAACCUUUAGCUACAAUAAUAAAAUGACCCCAUGACGCCAGUGGAACUACGUGGUUUUCUUUCAUGAUGAUUUGAUGAUACCUCAAUGGAAUUGAGCCAAGUUUUCGCCCAACCCUCGUGACCUCACUCCAGCAGCUCAAACCUGGGAACUCGCAGCUCAUUUUCGACGGACCGCUUCCAUGAGUAGACAAGGCACCGACGAUCACGGCUUGCAUCACCUGUACUGCUAUGUAAUAUAGCAUGCUGAACAAUGCUGCCAUUAUACUAGGAUCAACGUCCUGCCCCUUCCCCGGCUGUGUACAAAUUGGAACUCCAUUGGCAUGCCCCUUUGACUGAGCAACUUGUGUAUGUGUGUGUGCUCGAAACACAUUCACUUGCAACAGAAUGACUCCCAGGCUGACCUGGCUCAGUUCCUGUAUGUCUGAUCUACAUCCACAAUGGUUUCAAUGAAAGAGUGAAAAUUCUUCUCCCUGUACAAUCACUUCUAACACCUAUACUGACUACACCAAAUAUGAUCAUCACUCAACAUGUCUCACAUCAAGAUACUUUUCAAAAGUCAUCGAGAAGAGGAACAUAAUAUCUUUUUUCCCAUUGUUGCCUGAAUAAUCCUAACUAAAAGUUACUUCUCUAUUCUAUUUUUCCUGCAUGGAGUGGCGCUUUUCCGUCUAAUGGAAACGAAAUGAACAAAUAUGCUCUGGGUUUUUUUUUGUUUUUGUGCACCUUUUCAAUAUUACUAAUAAAGCAUUUUGUGGGUGUUUCAUUUACCACCUUCCUUCAUAAUUUUGCUAGUGUGUGAUUCACCAUAUUCCUAAUUAUUAAAUGCAAUAGCUACUGCAAUCUGUUCACUGAUGGGAAUCAUUUCAUGUUAACACAGCUUUGAAUACUAUCUUAAAUAAUGACUCAGACUGACUGUCAAUAAAAAUAUUCCUAGCUAUAAGCUUGCCUGAGGUUAAUGAAUGGUGUGCCUAACUCCUUACUUGAGUACUUAAGAACUAUGCUUAAAUUCUAGAUUGUAUGUUCUUGACAUUUUUGUCAAUAAGCUACUUGAAUGUUUGUCUCUUUCAAGUAAUUAUAAUUUGUUCACACUUCAGUGGAAGACAACUAAUCCUUAGUUGUUAGUAAGUAUGAAACGUGCUAAUUGCUACUCGUUUCCCUAUGAUUAUGAAUACCAUUAC